AGAGCGAACGCUGGCGGCAGGCUUAACACAUGCAAGUCGAGCGGGCGUAGCAAUACGUCAGCGGCAGACGGGUGAGUAACGCGUGGGAACGUACCUUUUGGUUCGGAACAACACAGGGAAACUUGUGCUAAUACCGGAUAAGCCCUUACGGGGAAAGAUUUAUCGCCAAAAGAUCGGCCCGCGUCUGAUUAGCUAGUUGGUGAGGUAACGGCUCACCAAGGCGACGAUCAGUAGCUGGUCUGAGAGGAUGAUCAGCCACAUUGGGACUGAGACACGGCCCAAACUCCUACGGGAGGCAGCAGUGGGGAAUAUUGGACAAUGGGCGCAAGCCUGAUCCAGCCAUGCCGCGUGAGUGAUGAAGGCCCUAGGGUUGUAAAGCUCUUUUGUGCGGGAAGAUAAUGACGGUACCGCAAGAAUAACGCCCGGCUAACUUCGUGCCAGCAGCCGC
This 448-nucleotide ribosomal RNA is filed under the name uncultured bacterium. RNAcentral describes it as "SSU rRNA". It matches the Rfam family "Bacterial small subunit ribosomal RNA", at positions 26 to 518 of the family's 1533-position model. The record is from RNAcentral.